UGAUCCGGUGGUUCUGAAUGGAAGGGCCAUCGCUCAACGGAUAAAAGGUACUCCGGGGAUAACAGGCUGAUACCGCCCAAGAGUUCAUAUCGACGGCGGUGUUUGGCACCUCGAUGUCGGCUCAUCACAUCCUGGGGCUGAAGUAGGUCCCAAGGGUAUGGCUGUUCGCCAUUUAAAGUGGUACGCGAGCUGGGUUUAGAACGUCGUGAGACAGUUCGGUCCCUAUCUGCCGUGGGCGCUGGAGAAUUGAGGGGGGCUGCUCCUAGUACGAGAGGACCGGAGUGGACGCAUCACUGGUGUUCGGGUUGUCAUGCCAAUGGCAUUGCCCGGUAGCUAAAUGCGGAAGAGAUAAGUGCUGAAAGCAUCUAAGCACGAAACUUGCCCCG
Molecule: ribosomal RNA, 386 nt
Filed under: Citrobacter freundii
Lineage: Bacteria; Pseudomonadati; Pseudomonadota; Gammaproteobacteria; Enterobacterales; Enterobacteriaceae
Description: partial 23S ribosomal RNA
Rfam family: Bacterial large subunit ribosomal RNA
Source: RNAcentral